This is a long non-coding RNA of Trifolium pratense (red clover), 915 nucleotides long. RefSeq lists it as uncharacterized. The transcript is spliced from 3 exons. The record is from RefSeq and is a predicted model, not a curated record. NCBI's taxonomy places the organism in Eukaryota, Viridiplantae, Streptophyta, Magnoliopsida, Fabales, Fabaceae.
GCCUCCAUAAACUUAUUGAAACAUUUGCAUCUGAUGGUAUUAUCACCAAUAUUCAUUCCUGUUACAAUUUUAGGACUGAUAAUUGUUCCCUAUAUAUAAAAUAGUGAGACGUGUAUCAUCGUAUAAACCCGACGAAACAUCAAUAUUCCUUAACAAUACUAUAAUAACAACACAAACAUCAAUAUUCCUUUCUUUUUUAUAUGCAAAAUCAUGUGUUUUUUCUUAUAAAAAAAAUCAGCAAAGCCCAUAUUUGCCUUUUUUUUUUGUGAAGCCCAUAUUUGCCUUUGUUGCAUCACGUUGUUUCUUUUGUAUUUCCAUUCUCAUUUUAAUUUAUUUUUCUCUCUCAUCAAUUAUUGAGACACGGUCUCUCUUCUUCAUCCUUCAAACCCUAGCAAAAACACCUAUCCACUGCAUUCCUCCGUCCGGCUACAGACCCAGCUGGCUGUGAAAUCAACAUCAUGUGUUAUCGAACUCCGUCGCCAAAAGCUCUGUUUUCGACCACGUCUGAGCUCGUCCAUGGAGUUGAGCGAUUGAUAUGUGAUCUUCAUUUUGAGAACUGGGCACCGUCACCGGAAACCACCGCCGACAAUCGUCUCCGCUACGGUCAAAUUGGAAUCUCGAUGUCAACAGAACUUCAUGCUUCAUCGUAGCCACUGAUAUUUUGGGUUCAAGAAAUCAAUUCUCAAGAAUUCAAUGUAAAACAGAAGUCAAUAACAAAAAGGAAAUGAAGAUGAGUUCUCUUGUGUUGAAGAAAAGAGAAAGGAUAAAAAAUGAAAGGAAAUAGUAUUGUAUUUUUGAUGCAUCAAUCCUUUGCUAUUUAUAGACAAAGGAAUUUGAAACUUGGGGGUAAAGUUUGUGUUGCAGAAUUACCUUCCCUAUUAAAUGACAAAGCUAAAAAUUACUUUUCCUAGAUAA